Molecule: ribosomal RNA, 650 nt
Filed under: Pseudoalteromonas sp. UST050418-012
Lineage: Bacteria; Pseudomonadati; Pseudomonadota; Gammaproteobacteria; Alteromonadales; Pseudoalteromonadaceae
Description: bacterial SSU rRNA
Rfam family: Bacterial small subunit ribosomal RNA
Source: RNAcentral
AUGCCGCGUGUGUGAAGAAGGCCUUCGGGUUGUAAAGCACUUUCAGUCAGGAGGAAAGGUUAGUAGUUAAUACCUGCUAGCUGUGACGUUACUGACAGAAGAAGCACCGGCUAACUCCGUGCCAGCAGCCGCGGUAAUACGGAGGGUGCGAGCGUUAAUCGGAAUUACUGGGCGUAAAGCGUACGCAGGCGGUUUGUUAAGCGAGAUGUGAAAGCCCCGGGCUCAACCUGGGAACUGCAUUUCGAACUGGCAAACUAGAGUGUGAUAGAGGGUGGUAGAAUUUCAGGUGUAGCGGUGAAAUGCGUAGAGAUCUGAAGGAAUACCGAUGGCGAAGGCAGCCACCUGGGUCAACACUGACGCUCAUGUACGAAAGCGUGGGGAGCAAACAGGAUUAGAUACCCUGGUAGUCCACGCCGUAAACGAUGUCUACUAGAAGCUCGGAACCUCGGUUCUGUUUUUCAAAGCUAACGCAUUAAGUAGACCGCCUGGGGAGUACGGCCGCAAGGUUAAAACUCAAAUGAAUUGACGGGGGCCCGCACAAGCGGUGGAGCAUGUGGUUUAAUUCGAUGCAACGCGAAGAACCUUACCUACACUUGACAUACAGAGAACUUACCAGAGAUGGUUGGGUGCCUUCGGGAACUCUGAUACAG